Molecule: ribosomal RNA, 2004 nt
Filed under: Triticum aestivum (bread wheat)
Lineage: Eukaryota; Viridiplantae; Streptophyta; Magnoliopsida; Poales; Poaceae
Description: partial small subunit ribosomal RNA
Source: RNAcentral
AUGGUCGGCUCGAUUGCCGCCCAGGCCGUGGUCCUCGGGGCCAUCCUGCUGCUCGCGGGGCUCGCGGCCGCCCAGCAGACGCCGAGGGCGCCCGCGCCCGACCCCGGCUGCAACGGCAUCCAGCUCACCUACAACCUCCAGGGCCGCGAGAAGAUCCGCCCAUUCGUCCCCGACAGGAACAAGCAGCCUUACUCCUUCAAGGCCAACGCCUCCGUGCUCAACGGCGGCACCCGCCCGCUCAGGUCCUGGGCGAUGCUCGUCACCUUCGGCCACGACGAGAUCCUCGUCGGCGUCGGCGGCGCCGUGCUCACCGGCGGGGCCGAGCUGCCCUACAACACCACCGAUGACGCCGGCAACGCCACCUCCUUCUCCGGGUACCCGCAGACGGACCUCCUCACGCCGAUUGCCACCGCCGGGGACAUCACGCAGAUCCAGGCCUCCGUCGGAUUGGUCGGCACGCUCUUCGCCGGCCCGCGCGGCCUCGUGCCGGAGCCGCUGCCCACCGCCUUGACGCUCCACGACCCGGACUACAACUGCCCGGCGGCGACCAAUGUCACCGCCACCAUCCUCACCACCUGUUGCCUCCUCACCCCCGAGGCCGAGGCCAACGCCACGGUCCCCGAGGCCAACGCCACCGACCCCACCAAGAGCUUCCUCCCGCGCCGCACCGGCGACCUCGUCAUCACCUACGACGUCGUCCAGGCAUACCCGACCAGCUACCUGGCGCUUGUCACGCUCGAGAACAACGCCAAGCUCGGCCGCCUCGACAACUGGCGGCUGUCGUGGGAGUGGCGCCGCGGCGAGUUCAUUUACUCGAUGAAGGGCGCACACCCAUUGGAGGUGGACUUCAAUGACUGCAUCUAUGGCGCACCAGGCCAGUACUAUCAGAGCCUGGAUUUCUCCCAGGUGCUCAACUGCGAGAAGAAGCCGGUCAUCCUUGACCUGCCGCUGUCCCGGUACAAUGACACACAGAUGGGGAAGAUUGAGCAUUGCUGCAGGAAUGGCACCAUCCUGCCCAAGUCCAUGGACGCGGCUCAGUCAAAAUCGGCGUUCCAAAUGCAGGUGUUCAAGAUGCCACCGGAUACCAACCGGACAAAGCUCUUCCCACCGGCCAAUUUCAAGAUCUCUGGCGGCUCAUCGCUGAACCCAGACUAUAGCUGUGGCCAGCCAGUGCCUGUCAGCCCCACCGGGUUCCCUAAUCCCAGCGGGCUCGACUCUACAACGCUGGCGGUUGCGACAUGGCAGGUGGUGUGCAACAUUACCACGGCCAAGGGGGCCAAGCCCAAGUGUUGUGUCACCUUCUCGGCUCACUACAAUGACUCAGUCAUUCCCUGCAACACCUGUGCAUGCGGUUGUCCUGUGAACCGCCGGGGUCCUACCUGCAGCACGACUGCUCCAUCCAUGAUCUUGCCACCGGAGGCGCUGCUUGUGCCGUUCGAUAACCGUACACAGAAGGCACAGGCAUGGGCUCAGUUGAAGCACUACAAUGUGCCUAGGCCAAUGCCUUGUGGUGAUUUUUGUGGUGUGAGCAUCAAUUGGCAUGUCUCAACAGACUUCAACAAGGGCUGGAGUGCUCGGGUGACAUUGUUCAAUUGGGGUGAUGUCGACAUGGCCAACUGGUUUGCUGCCAUGGUCAUGGACAAGGCGUAUGACGGAUUUGAGAAGGCAUACUCUUUCAAUGCAACAGCAGAGGGCAAUAACACCAUCUUUAUGCAGGGCCUUGAGGGGCUCAAUUACCUUGUGAAGCAGACCAACAUGAGCGGGUCGGAUUACCUCGUGCCAGGAAAGCAGCAAUCAGUGCUCUCAUUCACCAAGAAGCUGACUCCUGAUAUCGAUGUUGUCGCUGGAGAUGGGUUCCCAACAAAGGUCUUCUUCAAUGGUGACGAAUGUGCUAUGCCGCAGAGGUUACCGAUCAAGAGUGGUGGAUUCAGGACCCAUCUAAGCAGUGCCCUUGCUUUUGUCUUGCUCAUGGCUGCUUCGGCCUUGCUGUUGCUUCAGCAAUAA